UGGCUGAACUGUCCUGGGAAGGUCCUGGAAAGGUCCGUCUGUUUGCUUUCAGAGCAUGGAAACAAGCCUGUAGGGAGUGUUUCCCGGAGCCUGCCUCGUUGUGCGCUGGCCUGAGAGCAGCGGGACUCCAAGCCCGGCUUCCUGGAGGGAGGUGGUAACGCAGAAGUCCGUGUGGCCACCACCAGAGACGCAGCGCGGGCCGCUGUACCCGCAGCACGGACGGCGAGUGUCCCCAUCUCACCAACGCAGCCUGUGGGGUACCCGGGGAGGGUCUGGGAGGGAACCGCAUGCGAGCUUACAAAGUUCCCGGUGUGACGCAGACCGAGCCCUCCGUGCUGCCCUUCAGGCUCCCCGCACCCGGACAGCCCCACAGGGGCUCAUCCGUGGUGACCAGGGCGGUGGGGGGCUGGAGGGCAGGUGCGCCGUCAUCCUGAUACCCCCACCCCCCCAGUCCAAGCACCUGCCCGGUCUGACUGCUCAGAGGCGCUGUUCCGUAGUAGUUUCCGGCAGUCCCACCUCCAGGCCAGGCUGGAGAAAGAAAAACACAAUCUCCCCCGCCCCCCCCAAGUCCCCAGGACGCGAUUUCACAGCGCACCGAGGUGCACGCGCACAACAGACGCGCAGUCCUGCAGAGUGGCUCCCUUUGAGUCUUGCGAGCUGCCCCCUUGUUCCCUCGUCCCUUCUCUUCCCGUGUGGGGCCCAUCUGAGAGACGGAGUCCGGUGUUGGUGACACCGGUGUCGGCCUCACGGCCAGACUGCGGUUCUUGGAGGAGGCCAGGUUCACGGUGAGGCCCAAACACCUUCACGGCCCCUACAGCCUCAGUGAGUGGCAAAUAUAAUGGAGACUUGGUUCUACCUGGGAAGUACCAGCCCUGCGAUCAUCUCCUUGUAAGAACUUUGCUGCCCUGUGACCCCAGGGCUCUCCGAUCAGCUCUGCAUCAAGGCCACUUUGGUAUUGGCCCUGGAAGGGUGUACCCUACGCGACAACCCACCCGCCUAUGUCUAUCACAUUUGUCUUCUUCGGAGGAUGGCAUCAUGCGUGUGUUUUACACUCCCCUAUAGGGAAAGGGGGCUGAUUCAGAAUUUCUCACCGAGUCUGCCAAAGUUCUGCCAGCUUCGGGUCCAGAAGAAGUGAGAAAAUGAUAAUGCGAACCGUAAGCCCAUGCCCAGAACGCGGACUGGCCCAGAAAGCCCCCGGGCCUCCUGCUUCAGCAGCCAGCCUCGGACUCGCCUGCCUCGGGCAGUCACGACACCCAGGCUAACUCAGCCCUUCGGCCCUGUUCGGGCCUCCAAUUAUACCUCCAGCGCCCCCCACCCUCCAACCUGUUCUCCCCCAGGCCUGGGAUCCAGAAUAUCGGGCAUGAGCCGGAAAGGUGUCAGUCUUUGACCUGUGAGGAUGUAGCUUUGACUCCUGGACGAGUGCCUGCUGGUGUAGCUGUUCGCCCCGAGUCAGGGGCAACCAGGAUUCAGCUGUCCGUGGCUCAGCCUCUCUGUCAUCCACUCCAGCCCCCGGCCCCUUCCCAGGAGCACCUUUCCCUGACAUCUUCUAGCCCUUUGCUACUCCUGUUGUGGUGUGCAGACCAGCGGCAACGGCAUCAUCUGGGAGCUUGUUACAAAUGCAGAAAUGGCAUCACCUGGGAGCUUGUUACAAAUGCAGAAUCUCAGGGUCUUAGACCUGCAGAAUCAAGAUUUUGCAUUCCGACAAAACCCCUCGAUGAGUCACAUGCACAACCCUAGGACACGGGUUCUCAAACUUACCUGCCUAGUGAAAUCUCUAAGAAAGUUAUAAGAAAGGGGGCACCUGGUGGCUCAGUUGGUUAAGCGUCUGCCUUCGGCUCAGGUCAUGAUCUCCGGGUCCUGGGAUGGAGCCCUGCAUUGGGCUCCCUGCUCAGUGGGGAGUCUG
Long non-coding RNA from Zalophus californianus (California sea lion), 1903 nucleotides. RefSeq lists it as uncharacterized. Lineage: Eukaryota; Metazoa; Chordata; Mammalia; Carnivora; Otariidae. The record is from RefSeq and is a predicted model, not a curated record. The transcript is spliced from 4 exons.